AUUGAACGCUGGCGGCAGGCCUAACACAUGCAAGUCGAGCGGAGCGGCGGACGGGUGAGUAAUGCCUAGGAAUCUGCCUGGUAGUGGGGGAUAACGUCCGGAAACGGGCGCUAAUACCGCAUACUAUCAGAUGAGCCUAGGUCGGAUUAGCUAGUUGGUGGGGUAAAGGCCUACCAAGGCGACGAUCCGUAACUGGUCUGAGAGGAUGAUCAGUCAAACUUGAACUGGAACACGGUCCAGGAUCCUACGGGAGGCAGCAGUGGGGGAUAAUUGGCAAAGGGCGAAAGGCUGAUCCAGGCAUGCCGGGGGGGGGAAGAAGGGUUUCGGAAUGGAAAGCACUUUAAGUUGGGAGGCGUUACCAACAGAAUAAGCACCGGCUAACUUCGUGCCAGCAGCCGCGGUAAUAC
RNAcentral lists this ribosomal RNA (407 nucleotides) under uncultured bacterium. RNAcentral's name for it is "partial 16S ribosomal RNA". It matches the Rfam family "Bacterial small subunit ribosomal RNA", at positions 29 to 526 of the family's 1533-position model. The record is from RNAcentral.